RNAcentral lists this ribosomal RNA (404 nucleotides) under Actinomycetes bacterium. Its description in RNAcentral is "Actinobacteria bacterium partial 16S ribosomal RNA". It matches the Rfam family "Bacterial small subunit ribosomal RNA", at positions 355 to 776 of the family's 1533-position model. The record is from RNAcentral. Lineage: Bacteria; Bacillati; Actinomycetota; Actinomycetes.
UGGGGAAUAUUGGACAAUGGGCGCAAGCCUGAUCCAGCCAUGCCGCGUGAGUGAUGAAGGCCCUAGGGCUGUAAAGCUCUUUUACCGGUGAAGAUAAUGACGGUAACCGGAGAAGAAGCUCCGGCUAACUUCGUGCCAGCAGCCGCGGUAAUACGAAGGGGGCUAGCGUUGUUCGGAUUUACUGGGCGUAAAGCGCACGUAGGCGGACUAUUAAGUCAGGGGUGAAAUCCCGGGGCUCAACCCCGGAAAUGCCUUUGUUACUGGUAGUGUUGGGUUCGAGAGAGGUGAGUGGAAUUCCGAGUGUAGAGGUGAAAUUCGUAAAUAUUCGGAGGGACACCAGUGGCGAAGGCGGCUCGCUGGCUCGAUACUGACGCAGAAGUGCGAAAACGUGGGGAGCAAACAGG